This 125-nucleotide small RNA is filed under the name Marmota monax (woodchuck). The record is from RNAcentral. Lineage: Eukaryota; Metazoa; Chordata; Mammalia; Rodentia; Sciuridae.
GCAGGGUGUGGUGGCCACGCCUGUCAUCCCAGCGACCUGGAGGCUGAGGCAGGAGGAUCACAACUCAGAGGCCAGCCUCGGGCACUUAGCAAGGCCCUCAGCAGCUCAGGGUGACCCUGUCUUUA